Calidris pugnax (ruff) is the source of this 649-nucleotide long non-coding RNA. RefSeq lists it as uncharacterized. NCBI's taxonomy places the organism in Eukaryota, Metazoa, Chordata, Aves, Charadriiformes, Scolopacidae. The transcript has 3 exons. The record is from RefSeq and is a predicted model, not a curated record.
UUCUACUGCUCAAGGUUUUCCCAACCUUGUUACUCCCUGGUAACACAAUUAAUCUACGCAAGAGAGUACAGCAGAGGCAAGAGGGAGGGUGUCCUCACGCUGUUUUGCAACACUGCGCAUCUGAAGUUCCUCAGCUGUGCUAAGAGGAAGUGGUUAUUCGGUUUUGCUACCAUUUCAGGAAGGAUAAAGCUCCAGUAAACUUUCCCUGAGAGUCACCUGGAAACCACAGAAGUAAAAAUUAAUAUUUGCCUGCUGCCUGUCCGAGGAGGUGCCACCAGGAGGAAACUUAUGACAAGGCUGCAGCCACUGUUCUGUAGGAUCUUCACGUGCUCUGGACUCUCACAUCUCUUCCUCUUUCAACAUGAUCACCCAGUGAAGAGCAUCCCAGACAAAUGAAUCCUGGUAACUUGGAGGCUCUUGUUUAAAGAGACAUGAAGAGCAGAUGAUCACCAUGGACCUUAUUAAUGAAUUUUGCAAUUGCAGUAAAUGGAAAGACUUUUAUAUCUUCCCUCUCCUGCCAUUGAUGGGUACAUUUUGCCAGAUGUUGACACAUUUCUGCUGUGGAUGCUAAUUUGCGUUGAAGUUGGUGAGUUUCAUCAGUCAGUGAACGGCACAAAACAUCGCUGGUGGCCUGAGCCUUCUCUCUUUC